GCCUGAUAGCUCAGUUGGUUGCAAAUGAGACUUGUAAUCUCAGAGUCGUGGGUUUGAGCCCCACGUUGGGCA
Non-coding RNA from Podarcis lilfordi (Lilford's wall lizard), 72 nucleotides. The record is from the annotation of a GenBank genome assembly. NCBI's taxonomy places the organism in Eukaryota, Metazoa, Chordata, Lepidosauria, Squamata, Lacertidae.